RNAcentral lists this ribosomal RNA (478 nucleotides) under uncultured bacterium. RNAcentral describes it as "partial 16S ribosomal RNA". It matches the Rfam family "Bacterial small subunit ribosomal RNA", at positions 28 to 507 of the family's 1533-position model. The record is from RNAcentral.
GAUGAACGCUGGCGGCGUGCUUAACACAUGCAAGUCGAACGGGAAUUAUUUUAUUGCACCUUCGGUCGAUUUACUUUAAUUCUAGUGGCGGCCGGGUGAGUAACUCGUGGGUAACCUGCCUUAUACAGGGGGAUAACAGUCAGAAAUGGCUGCUAAUACCGCAUCAGCGCACAGAGCUGCAUGGCUCAGUGUGAAAAACUCCGGUGGUAUAAGAUGGACCCGCGUUGGAUUAGCUGGUUGGUGGGGUAACGGCCCACCAAGGCGACGAUCCAUAGCCGGCCUGAGAGGGUGAACGGCCACAUUGGGACUGAGACACGGCCCAGACUCCUACGGGAGGCAGCAGUGGGGAAUAUUGCACAAUGGGGGAAACCCUGAUGCAGCGACGCCGCGUGAAGGAAGAAGUAUCUCGGUAUGUAAACUUCUAUCAGCAGGGAAGAUAGUGACGGUACCUGACUAAGAAGCCCCGGCUAACUACGUG